UCAGUAGCUGAGUGGAUAACGCAAUGGCGUUUGAAGCGGACGGUACUGGGUUCGAGUCCCAGAGUGA
RNAcentral lists this transfer RNA (67 nucleotides) under Schistosoma mansoni. The record is from RNAcentral. Lineage: Eukaryota; Metazoa; Platyhelminthes; Trematoda; Strigeidida; Schistosomatidae.